GAUGAACGCUAGCUACAGGCUUAACACAUGCAAGUCGAGGGGCAGCAUGGUCUUAGCUUGCUAAGGCUGAUGGCGACCGGCGCACGGGUGAGUAACACGUAUCCAACCUGCCGUCUACUCUUGGUCAGCCUUCUGAAAGGAAGAUUAAUCCAGGAUGGGAUCAUGAGUUCACAUGUCCGCAUGAUUAAAGGUAUUUUCCGGUAGACGAUGGGGAUGCGUUCCAUUAGAUAGUAGGCGGGGUAACGGCCCACCUAGUCAACGAUGGAUAGGGGUUCUGAGAGGAAGGUCCCCCACAUUGGUACUGAGACACGGACCAA
RNAcentral lists this ribosomal RNA (317 nucleotides) under uncultured bacterium. Its description in RNAcentral is "bacterial SSU rRNA". It matches the Rfam family "Bacterial small subunit ribosomal RNA", at positions 28 to 334 of the family's 1533-position model. The record is from RNAcentral.